AAAAAAUGUAUCAGGCGGAUGGGCAGCAUCGGGUUUCGCUUCUCCUCAACAGCAAAGUCGAGCUGAGGCCCCACUUGCGCCGGGCGCUCGGGCACUCCGCGCUCGGCUCAGCCUGCUCCCCGGUGAGCACGGCGCCUAGACAGGAGGGAGGGCCUAAUCGCGGAGCACGGUGUGUGGGGCGUCUAUACUGAAGACGCAAGAUAGGGGGAAAGAAGAGGGAAAGUCUACCUCAGGAGAUGAAACUCAGCGCUGCGCAAACAAACCUGCCCCGGUCCCACAAGAUGGCGGCGAAGCCGUGGCGGAAGGGACGACUCCUCCCGCGCGCAAACUCCCGCCGGCGCCUUUGAGUGUCGGCUACACAUAAAAUGGCUUCCGAUUAGCGGGGGUGUUGUCAGCGCAGUGAGGAGAAGGGGGUGGCAGUAGGAUUGUCUUGAGUUCAGUGUGUGUAUAGACGUUUAUGGGACUAUGCUUUUUAUACCCCUGUUGGUACGAGGCAGACAAAACAGCUUUGUAUUAGUCCCAGUAGUCAUUCAGUGAUAACAGACUGCUUAUCAGUGAGAAUUGCAGACUUGGGUAAGUGUGGGCAUAUGUUUUGGCAGAAGCCCUUGGUUCAUGUCUUGCUCUAUCAUUCUGAGUUUGUUUAUAGUGAGGAUAAUAUUGUACAGGUGUGUGAGAGUUGUAUGCUUCCCAUUGUUUUACAGUCUUCAGUAAAUUUUAAGUAAUGCCUUGUCCCUGUAAACUGGGUCUUGUGAUACCCUUGGUAUAAAUCAGCAACUUACAUGAAGCAACUUACUCUGAGGUGCUAUUGUUGUAGCUGCUCUCUUAAAGGCCUUAAAUCUAAAAUCCUAGGCUGUUUUAUUUGCUGAAAUAGGCAAAAGCCACUUCAAUAUGUGGUGAAAUUAGAUACAUCACGUAUAACUCCCAGCUCAAUGGAUUUCAAAGCAUUUACAAAACAGUCAUUUUUUGUGCUGCUAAAAAUAUACCAGUGGAAGCACAGUACUCUGGGAUAGCACACUUGUGCAGAGUCACGCUGUCUUUGGAACUGCAGGGAAAACAGAGGCAGAAUAUAAUCACCCACACUAGAAUUUGGUCAGAUACCAAGCAACUGCUCUGUGUCAUGAAAAAAUAUCUGGAUUCUUACUGAAAUUGUAUGGUCAGGCUCUCACUUUAAUAUCAAUCAUUCAAGGGUAUCACAGUAUCCCUGCUACUAAGAUACAGCAUUGGAUUUGUGCUGAUUCAGAAGGAAACCAGCUACCUGCUGUGAAUCAAUAUGCUCACUUUCUCCUUAGAUCUAUUCCAUACAAACUCAUAAAGACUUGUACAGGCUAAUAGAAGAGGUUUAAGGAGAUAGUAUGGCUCCAGGCUUAUGAAAGAAGAUUUUUUUUUAAUGAAUGAAUGAUUUACCGAUUUACCAAUUUAACACAGCCUUUACUUACUUAAGUGACCAAUAUACUCUCUUGUUUAUUUGCUCCACUUUUUCCUUAAUUUACCUAAUUUUUAGAUGCUUACUGAACAGUUUCCACAUUUUUAUAGGAAACAUUUGAGUUGUAUGCAAGUUUCUUUUCAUUCUCUUCCCCCCCCCCCAUAUUUCGAAGUUGAACUACUACAUUGUCUUCAUUGAUAGGUUCUUAUGUAAACUGGAACUGUAAAUCAGUGUAAACAUACAACAUAGAGCAUACCAGUAAGAUUAGAUGUGACUGAGAAGAGAUGGUACUAUAUGUUUCAAUUUGGAGAGGUUUGGAUGUAAAUCUCUGGCUUGGACAUAGUUCUCUUUAUAUGCUUUCAUAACAGGUUUGAUCUAUCUAAUUUUUUAGAUUCUCCUAGUUAUUUAAAAAAAUCUUUAAGGAUUUAUGCCUCCUAAAAUACUAUGAACUUGUCUUUUAUGUUAUAUAUUUCAAAAUCAGACUUAGUAUGAUCAGGGUGAGUGCAUUCUAUCUGUAUAUAUAAAUGGUGUCCCUGGUUUCAUUUGUAA
Grus americana (Whooping crane) is the source of this 1972-nucleotide long non-coding RNA. RefSeq lists it as uncharacterized. The transcript is spliced from 2 exons. The record is from RefSeq and is a predicted model, not a curated record. NCBI's taxonomy places the organism in Eukaryota, Metazoa, Chordata, Aves, Gruiformes, Gruidae.